UACAGGGGGGGCAAGCGUUGUUCGGAAUUACUGGGCGUAAAGGGCCAGUAGGCGGCCAACUAAGUCCGACGUGAAAUCCCAAAGCUUAACUUUGGAACUGCGUCGGAUACUGGAUGGCUUGAAUUCGGGAGAGGGAUGCAGAAUUCCAGGUGUAGCGGUGAAAUGCGUAGAUAUCAGGAGGAACACCGGUGGCGAAGGCGCCUAUCUGGCCCGAUACUGACGCUGAGGCGCGAAAGCUAGGGGAGCAAACGGG
This 253-nucleotide ribosomal RNA is filed under the name uncultured bacterium. Its description in RNAcentral is "partial 16S ribosomal RNA". It matches the Rfam family "Bacterial small subunit ribosomal RNA", at positions 524 to 776 of the family's 1533-position model. The record is from RNAcentral.